RNAcentral lists this ribosomal RNA (301 nucleotides) under uncultured bacterium. Its description in RNAcentral is "partial 16S ribosomal RNA". It matches the Rfam family "Bacterial small subunit ribosomal RNA", at positions 509 to 808 of the family's 1533-position model. The record is from RNAcentral.
CAGUCGCCGCGGUAAUACGAUGGGGGCUAGCGUUGUUCGGAUUUACUGGGCGUAAAGGGCGCGUAGGCGGACUGAUAAGUCAGGGGUGAAAUCCCAAGGCUCAACCUUGGAACUGCCUUUGAUACUGUUUGUCUUGAGUUCGAGAGAGGUAAGUGGAACUGCGAGUGUAGAGGUGAAAUUCGUAGAUAUUCGCAAGAACACCAGUGGCGAAGGCGGCUUACUGGCUCGAUACUGACGCUGAGGCGCGAAAGCGUGGGGAGCGAACAGGAUUAGAUACCCCCUAGUCCCUGUCUCUUAUACA